CAGGUGUGGAAUUUUCCACUUCUGGGGUCAAAUUGGUGCUCAAAAGUUUUGGAGUUUGAGCAUUUUGGAAUUCAGAUGUUUAGAUUCGGAAUGCACAACUUGUGCUGUAAUGAUGAUUUCUAAAUUAUUUAUAACUCUAGUAUAAAGGUUAAAAAACAAAGAAUAUUAAAAGUCAUUGUUGAGAGACAAAAUGAGAUCAUGUCUGGGAAAAUACUUCUAAAUUAUCAACUCCCUUUCUAUGGAAGAGGAUGACCAAAGAAGGAUGCACUCCUUGUCUGGAAUUAUGCCAGAGGUCUUAAAAUGCUCAGAAAUGAAAUCAGCCUUCUUCCCUGUCCUAAGAGGCUCAGGUUUUCGGCAAGUAACUCAUAAAAUUAAUGCUCCACUGAAAAUAAAAUCUGAUUUGAGUAGUAUCAGCACUUAGAAGACCUUUGGAGGCCGGGGGUAUUUUCUCUUUUACAAUGCUGUGAACAACAUUCACUCCUGGAAAACACUCCAAUGUCUUACAUCUUGAGGCUGUGGGGAUUUUUUUUUCUUUUGGUUUAAAUGUUGCCUUUCCUAUCUUUCUGCAUAUCAAUUUUUCCCCUGCCCAAGUCACAGGCUUGGUAGUAACCAUCAUGUUUACUGCUGUUCCUUCACAUGUGGUUCUCUGAGGCUUCUGAGCACCAGAAUUUUAUUAAACAGAGCUACUCACACCAUAAAGAUGGAAUUCUGCCAGAUCUGAAUCAUAGAAUAACACCAGAAUUGACUUCAGAAAUCAUCUUCUCUAAAGAUUUGCAAGAUUUUUAAACAGCACAUGCCUUUGUAAAAUGAAAUCAUCAGUGGAACACCGUAUAUAAAAUAAAAUUAAUAAAAACUACUAUGGCUGG
Molecule: long non-coding RNA, 866 nt
Filed under: Homo sapiens (human)
Lineage: Eukaryota; Metazoa; Chordata; Mammalia; Primates; Hominidae
Description: HSALNT0325942
Source: RNAcentral